CCCGGGGCUCGCGGCCCCCCGGGCCUGUGGCUCGCCGCUGUCUUUUCUGCCGUUUUCCACUAGGUGGAGCUGCAACAAUAUUUUUCCCGUCUUUAUGCUAAGGAGGAAAUAGUUACGAACUAUUUGAAAAGCAAUGUUCGUCUUAACAAUUCAAAUGUAUUCCUGCUAAUUUGUAUUUGAUAAAGGUUCAGAAGUCUUUUGUUGUACGUCUAGUUAGUCUGCAUGUUACGUUUACAGCCUUUGCAAAUUUUCCAUUUGAUUGUGAGUCUUACUGUGAAUUUUUAUGCAGCUGUAUACCUUCACUUAUUUGUUUAUAUGUGUGUAUGUGUGUGUAUUGCUGUGUUUAUAGGUGCGUGUAUAUAAUAGGCAGGAAGAGAAAGCUGUAACUUCCCUGUUGCUAUACUCAUGAGUGGAUUGAAGUGGUAAAGCACAGAGCAACAUCUACUAUGUACAUAGUGACAAUACACUGUUCAGAGACAGGUGGAGAUUAAUGAUCCGAUUGUCUUCUAUGUAAAACCCGUCAGGCAAAGUUGCGGAACUGCUGCAGAUCAUACUGAAGAGGGAAGUACAGAAGAACUUCUACAGUGACUUUUUAUCAACAGGAGAGUGCCUCUCUCUCCUUUUCUUCUUUUACUUUAAAAUAUCCUGUAAGUUUCAGAAAAAUAAAGAAAAAAAGCAAAAAAAAAACUAGUGUAGGAUUUUAGAGGUUUUUAGAGCCUUUUGCCUGCAGGAUAACAGCUGAAAGAACCACAGAAAACUGAGAAAAAGUUCAGAAGAGCUACCUGAGCCCCCCAAAAUGACUGGUCAUGAAGAAAUCAUGAAACUGAGACUCUGAUGGUGUGAUUAAGUAAACUGCUAGGUUAAGCCACACGAGUGGAUUCAGGCUGCCAUUUAUGCAACAGAGCCCUUGGAAUAGCAUCUGUCCAAUUACUGGUGGUUAGAUUUGUAUUACCUGAUGUAAUUAAAAUGGAAGGAUCUUUUAGGGCUUCUUGCUGAAGACACGAGCCACAGAGGCAGCCCCACGAGGGUGGGAAGCUGGGGGUCAGUGGUGAGAGGCUCUGCGCAGCAGUCGACCAUCAUUACAGCUGUGCAUUAUGGCUGUGCUUCUGGAAAGGUUUGGGGAAAUCUCCUGCCAGGAGAUUGGCAGGAAAAAGGUGCGCCUGGGAAAGAGUGAGCUACAUAUUAUUUCACUUUAGGUCCUGUAAAAGCUAAGUCACCACUCUUUGAAGACUGGUGACUGUAUUUAUGUAAGUGGUGUAAUACAGGGAGACCUGUAGGCAAUUAGCCUGUGUUGGUUGAAUAAUCAAAGCUGUUGCAGGUUUGAGAGCUAGUGAAAACAUUUGUGAGGAAAGAAAGUAUCUAAACUUUUUAGAGCCAUUUAAUCUAAUUUUGGCUGAAUGUGGUAACCUGAC
Molecule: long non-coding RNA, 1412 nt
Organism: Numida meleagris (helmeted guineafowl)
Lineage: Eukaryota; Metazoa; Chordata; Aves; Galliformes; Numididae
Exons: 3
Source: RefSeq, a predicted model, not a curated record